Molecule: long non-coding RNA, 1068 nt
Filed under: Homo sapiens (human)
Lineage: Eukaryota; Metazoa; Chordata; Mammalia; Primates; Hominidae
Description: HSALNT0306470
Source: RNAcentral
CUGAAAACCAGAGCUCGUCCGUGGCUUCACUUGUUUUGGACUAAGGAGCUGAGGAGCGUGCAAGACUGUACUUGGAGAAUCUGUUUCUUGCUGCCAUUUCGUCACUGAACACUAUUUUUUUUCUCCUUCUUUUUUUGUAAGAAAAGGAGAACACAUAAAACCCCACCAGAACAAACUCCACUCGGCCCUGAAAGUAUUUACAAUCACGGCCCUGAAAGUACUGAAAGUAUUUACAAUCACGUUACAGUUCAUUCACUGCUGCAGAACCUCUCUCCAGCGAUCAAGGUCGAAGGGAGCCGACGUCGCCCUCUAUCGGCUCCCUGCUGCACUAGAAGGAUCGGGAAGAUGGAGGCUCCUGAAGAGCUGUAGAAGCGCAUCCUAGGCAGAAGCCCAGCAGACAGCAAAGGGCCUGGUUUGUUCAAGGAACUGGAGGGCAAGAAAAUCAGGAGCCAAUUCAUGCAGGGCACAGUUAGCCAAGAUAUUGACUGAGAAUCCUCCAUGUGCCAAGUACUGUUCAAAAACACUGGGAACCCAGCAGGGAUGAGCCACAAGUUUCCUUGUCUUUACGAAGCUUUCAUUCUGAGGGAGUGGAGAGAGACAAGCAAUAAACAACCAAUCAAAACAAAGAUGACUCCUCUGAGUGUUGUGAUAUGCGGGUCAAGGAGGAUGGCUCCCAGGAUGUGACCUCAGAGCAGAAGCCUGGAGGCUUGCCAGCAGCGGGAAGAGCAGCGGCAGGGCACUGCAGGCAGAGGUGACCAAAAGCGUGAAACCUUGAGCUGGGAAGCACGUGGUCUGCUGGAAAGUGGGCUGAUGUAUUUGAAGAGAGCAAGGAGCAGAAUGGUACAAUGGGGUGAUGGGGGAAGAGCCAGGCAGAGCCCAGUGCUGCAAAGCCCGGUAGCACAUACAUGUGUAACGUACCUUGAAGCAAAUGAAUGGCCUGAUCUGGUUUCUGUUUUGGCUGCUCUGUGGUGAUGUGGUGCCUGGGAGGCAAAGAAGCUGGGAAAGAAGCGGUUUUUCUCUUCUAGGUACUUUAAAGCUCUAUAAUAUAUGCUCAGGUGAAAUUUGGCU